This 222-nucleotide unclassified non-coding RNA is filed under the name Glomeraceae sp. RNAcentral's name for it is "partial contains 5.8S ribosomal RNA and internal transcribed spacer 2". The stretch from base 1 to 71 matches the Rfam family "5.8S ribosomal RNA", at positions 84 to 154 of the family's 154-position model. Lineage: Eukaryota; Fungi; Glomeromycota; Glomeromycetes; Glomerales; Glomeraceae. The record is from RNAcentral.
GUGAAUCAUCGAAUUUUUGAACGCAAAUUGCACUUCCUGGUAUUCCGGAAAGCAUGCCUGUUUGAGGGUCAGUUAAAUAAAAAUCGGUGUUGUUGCUGCUAUUAGUGGUGAUGCAUCGGAAUUGAGUUGUUCUUUGCUCUUUGGUAUCAGUGAUUUAAUAUAUGUACGAUUUUUGAAUGUUUUUAUAUUAUUUCCGUUCGUUCAUAAUAUCAUAUCUUAUGU